RNAcentral lists this ribosomal RNA (455 nucleotides) under uncultured bacterium. Its description in RNAcentral is "bacterial SSU rRNA". It matches the Rfam family "Bacterial small subunit ribosomal RNA", at positions 52 to 507 of the family's 1533-position model. The record is from RNAcentral.
CACAUGCAAGUCAACUUGAGGGAAGGAGCAAUCUGACCUGAUGGUGGCGCGAGGGUGCGUAACGCGUAAGUAACUUGCCCCAAGGUAAGAAUAACGUCGAGAAAUCGGCGCUAAUACCUCAUAAUGCAGCGGAUCCGCAUGGAUAUGUUGUUAAAGGUUUACCGCCUUGGGAUAGGCUUGCGUCUGAUUAGCUAGUUGGUGUGGUAAUGGCACACCAAGGCUACGAUCAGUAACUGGUCUGAGAGGAUGAUCAGUCACACUGGAACUGAGACACGGUCCAGACUCCUACGGGAGGCAGCAGUGAGGAAUAUUGGGCAAUGCACGAAAGUGUGACCCAGCAACGCCGCGUGGAGGAUGAAGGUAUUCUAUAUCGUAAACUCCUGUGAGAGCAGACGAAAGACAGAUUAUUAAUUUGGAUGACUGUAUGCUCAGAGGAAGCCCCGGCUAACUACGUG